This 465-nucleotide ribosomal RNA is filed under the name uncultured Klebsiella sp. RNAcentral's name for it is "bacterial SSU rRNA". It matches the Rfam family "Bacterial small subunit ribosomal RNA", at positions 338 to 795 of the family's 1533-position model. The record is from RNAcentral. Lineage: Bacteria; Pseudomonadati; Pseudomonadota; Gammaproteobacteria; Enterobacterales; Enterobacteriaceae.
CCUACGGGUGGCUGCAGUGGGGAAUAUUGCACAAUGGGCGCAAGCCUGAUGCAGCCAUGCCGCGUGUGUGAAGAAGGCCUUCGGGUUGUAAAGCACUUUCAGCGGGGAGGAAGGCGGUGAGGUUAAUAACCUCAUCGAUUGACGUUACCCGCAGAAGAAGCACCGGCUAACUCCGUGCCAGCAGCCGCGGUAAUACGGAGGGUGCAAGCGUUAAUCGGAAUUACUGGGCGUAAAGCGCACGCAGGCGGUCUGUCAAGUCGGAUGUGAAAUCCCCGGGCUCAACCUGGGAACUGCAUUCGAAACUGGCAGGCUAGAGUCUUGUAGAGGGGGGUAGAAUUCCAGGUGUAGCGGUGAACUGCGUAGAGAUCUGGAGGAAUACCGGUGGCGAAGGCGGCCCCCUGGACAAAGACUGACGCUCAGGUGCGAAAGCGUGGGGAGCAAACAGGAUUAGAUACCCGAGUAGUC